This 627-nucleotide ribosomal RNA is filed under the name uncultured bacterium. Its description in RNAcentral is "bacterial SSU rRNA". It matches the Rfam family "Bacterial small subunit ribosomal RNA", at positions 79 to 702 of the family's 1533-position model. The record is from RNAcentral.
CUUGCUUCUCUUGAGAGCGGCGGACGGGUGAGUAAUGCCUAGGAAUCUGCCUGGUAGUGGGGGAUAACGUUCGGAAACGGACGCUAAUACCGCAUACGUCCUACGGGAGAAAGCAGGGGACCUUCGGGCCUUGCGCUAUCAGAUGAGCCUAGGUCGGAUUAGCUAGUUGGUGGGGUAAUGGCUCACCAAGGCGACGAUCCGUAACUGGUCUGAGAGGAUGAUCAGUCACACUGGAACUGAGACACGGUCCAGACUCCUACGGGAGGCAGCAGUGGGGAAUAUUGGACAAUGGGCGAAAGCCUGAUCCAGCCAUGCCGCGUGUGUGAAGAAGGUCUUCGGAUUGUAAAGCACUUUAAGUUGGGAGGAAGGGUUGUAGAUUAAUACUCUGCAAUUUUGACGUUACCGACAGAAUAAGCACCGGCUAACUCUGUGCCAGCAGCCGCGGUAAUACAGAGGGUGCAAGCGUUAAUCGGAAUUACUGGGCGUAAAGCGCGCGUAGGUGGUUUGUUAAGUUGGAUGUGAAAUCCCCGGGCUCAACCUGGGAACUGCAUUCAAAACUGACUGACUAGAGUAUGGUAGAGGGUGGUGGAAUUUCCUGUGUAGCGGUGAAAUGCGUAGAUAUAGGAA